GGGUAGGGGGUGUGAGAGCACGGCCCCCCACAAUGGGACUGAAACACGGNCCAUACUCCUACGGGAGGCAGCAGCAGGGAAUAUUGCACAAUAGGCGAAAGCCUGAUGCAGCGACGCCGCGUGAGUGAAGAAGGCCUUCGGGUCGUAAAGCUUUUUUGUAGGGGAAGAGGAAGGACGGUACCCUAAGAAGAAGCGUCGGCUAACUACGUGCCAGCAGCCGCGGUAAGACGUAGGACGCGAGCGUUAUCCGGAAUUACUGGGCGUAAAGGGCCAGCAGGCGGCUUGGUAAGUUGUGCGUGAAAGCCUCGUGCUCAACGCGAGGAAGCCGGACAAUACUGUCAAGCUAGAGGGCAUCAGAGGGGAGUGGAAUUCCCGGAGUAGCGGUAAAAUGCGCAGAUAUCGGGAGGAACACCGAUGGCGAAGGCAGCUCCCUGGGAUGCACCUGACGCUAAGAGGCGAAAGCUAGGGGAGCGAACAGGAUUAGAGACCCUGGUAGUCCUAGCUGUAAACGCUGGGUGCUAGGUGUGGGACGUAGAAGUUCCGUGCCGGAGCAAACGCGAUAAGCACCCCGCCUGGGAAUUACGGUCGCAAGGCUAAAACUCAAACGAAUUGACGGGGCCCCGCACAAGCAGCGGAGCGUGUGGUUCAAUUCGAUGCUACACGAAGAACCUUACCUGGGUUUGACAUGUACGUGGUACGAAGGCGAAAGCCUAAGGACCCUUCGGGGAGCGUACACAGGUGCUGCAUGGCUGUCGUCAGCUCGUGCCGUGAGGUGUCGGGUUAAGUCCCGUAACGAGCGCAACCCUUGCCCUUAGUUACAAGUGUCUAAGGGGACUGCCGGCGGGAAGCCGGAGGAAGGUGGGGAUGACGUCAAGUCAGCAUGGCCCUUAUGUCCAGGGCUACACACACGCUACAAUGGUCAGUACAAAGGGUAGCGAAGUCGCGAGGCGGAGCGAAUCUCAACAAAGCUGAUCGUAGUUCGGAUUGCAGGCUGCAACCCGCCUGCAUGAAGCUGGAGUUGCUAGUAACCGCGCGUCAGCCAUAGUGCGGUGACUACGUACCCGGGGCUUGUACACACCGCCCGUCACGUCAUGGGAGUCGGUAACGCCUGAAGCCGGUAGUCUGGCCCGCAAGGGGGACGCUGUCGAAGGCGGGACU
RNAcentral lists this ribosomal RNA (1158 nucleotides) under uncultured organism. RNAcentral describes it as "bacterial SSU rRNA". It matches the Rfam family "Bacterial small subunit ribosomal RNA", at positions 281 to 1469 of the family's 1533-position model. The record is from RNAcentral.